AUUGAACGCUGGCGGCAGGCUUAACACAUGCAAGUCGAGCGGUAACAGAGAGAAGCUUGCUUCUCUGCUGACGAGCGGCGGACGGGUGAGUAAUGCCUAGGAAUCUGCCUAGUAGUGGGGGAUAACUUGCCGAAAGGUAAGCUAAUACCGCAUACGUCCUACGGGAGAAAGGAGGGGACCUUCGGGCCUUUCGCUAUUAGAUGAGCCUAGGUCGGAUUAGUUAGUUGGUGAGGUAAUGGCUCACCAAGACCGCGAUCCGUAACUGGUCUGAGGGGAUGACCAGUAACACUGGAACUAAGACACGGUCCAGACUCCUACGGGAGGCAGCAGUGGGGAAUAUUGGACAAUGGGGGGAACCCUGAUUCAGCCAUGCCGCGUGUGUGAAGAAGGUCUUAGGAUUGUAAAGCACUUUAAGUUGGGAGGAAGAGCAGUUAACUAAUAUUUGACUGUUUUGACGUUACCGACAGAAUAAGCACCGGCUAACUUCGUGCCAGCCGCCGCCGUAA
RNAcentral lists this ribosomal RNA (506 nucleotides) under uncultured bacterium. Its description in RNAcentral is "partial 16S ribosomal RNA". It matches the Rfam family "Bacterial small subunit ribosomal RNA", at positions 30 to 523 of the family's 1533-position model. The record is from RNAcentral.